UAACACUGUGCAACUAAGUCC
This 21-nucleotide microRNA is filed under the name Medicago truncatula (barrel medic). RNAcentral describes it as "mtr-miR2588a". Lineage: Eukaryota; Viridiplantae; Streptophyta; Magnoliopsida; Fabales; Fabaceae. The record is from miRBase by way of RNAcentral.